This 534-nucleotide ribosomal RNA is filed under the name Triticum aestivum (bread wheat). Its description in RNAcentral is "partial small subunit ribosomal RNA". Lineage: Eukaryota; Viridiplantae; Streptophyta; Magnoliopsida; Poales; Poaceae. The record is from RNAcentral.
AUUAAGAAGAAGGCAGAUGGCUCCAUUGACAGAUAUAAGGCACGUCUAGUUGCAAAGGGCUUUAAGCAACGUUAUGGCAUUGACUAUGAGGACACCUUUAGUCCCGUUGUGAAAGCUGCAACUAUCAGACUUGUGUUAGCCAUUGUUGUAUCCAGAGGAUGGAGUUUAAGGCAGCUAGAUGUACAGAAUGCGUUUCUGCACGGUGUUCUGGAAGAGGAAGUGUUUAUGAGACAACCACCUGGGUAUGAGAGUAAGAAAUUGCCACAGUAUGUCUGCAAGCUUGAUAAAGCACUCUAUGGUCUAAAGCAAGCACCCAGAGCAUGGUAUUCCAGAUUGAGCUCACAGUUAAAAUAUCUUGGCUUUGUUGCUUCCAAGGCUGACACAUCCUUGUUUAUUUAUAACAAGGCAGGAGUAGUCAUUUUUGUGCUUAUAUAUGUUGAUGAUAUCAUAGUUGCAAGUUCUUCACAAAAUGCUACUAAUGCUCUUUUGCAUGAUUUGAGCUCAGAGUUUGCCUUGAAGGACCUAGGUGAUUUG